AAGUCGUAACAAGGUAACCGUAGGUGAACCUGCGGUUGGAUCAUUAAUAAAUUCAACCCAAAAGACAUGUUUUUUCUUUUGAAAAAGCAUGUUUUUUACACACAAUGUGAACUGUUUAUUGUCUCUGGUGGUGUUAAAAGCUUUGUUUGCACUUUAAAACGUAAGAGCAAAGUGGGGGAAACCUCACCCACCUAUUUAAACUUUUAUUAUUAUUCAAUUUGGCCUUUAUAUCUAAUUAAAAAAAAGUUAAUUAAAAAACAACUUUUGGCAACGGAUCUCUAGGCUCUU
Molecule: unclassified non-coding RNA, 288 nt
Filed under: fungal sp.
Lineage: Eukaryota; Fungi
Also listed under: 1 other name
Description: partial internal transcribed spacer region
Rfam family: Eukaryotic small subunit ribosomal RNA (bases 1-46)
Source: RNAcentral